RNAcentral lists this ribosomal RNA (465 nucleotides) under Vreelandella stevensii. RNAcentral describes it as "partial 16S ribosomal RNA". It matches the Rfam family "Bacterial small subunit ribosomal RNA", at positions 338 to 795 of the family's 1533-position model. The record is from RNAcentral. Lineage: Bacteria; Pseudomonadati; Pseudomonadota; Gammaproteobacteria; Oceanospirillales; Halomonadaceae.
CCUACGGGACGCUGCAGUGGGGAAUAUUGGACAAUGGGCGAAAGCCUGAUCCAGCCAUGCCGCGUGUGUGAAGAAGGCCUUCGGGUUGUAAAGCACUUUCAGUGGGGAAGAAAGCCUUGGGGCUAAUACCCUCGAGGAAGGACAUCACCCACAGAAGAAGCACCGGCUAACUCCGUGCCAGCAGCCGCGGUAAUACGGAGGGUGCGAGCGUUAAUCGGAAUUACUGGGCGUAAAGCGCGCGUAGGCGGUCUGAUAAGCCGGUUGUGAAAGCCCCGGGCUCAACCUGGGAACGGCAUCCGGAACUGUCAGGCUAGAGUGCAGGAGAGGAAGGUAGAAUUCCCGGUGUAGCGGUGAAAUGCGUAGAGAUCGGGAGGAAUACCAGUGGCGAAGGCGGCCUUCUGGACUGACACUGACGCUGAGGUGCGAAAGCGUGGGUAGCAAACAGGAUUAGAUACCCGUGUAGUC